AGGACGAACGCUGGCGGCGUGCUUAACACAUGCAAGUCGAGCGAGAAAGCUCCUUCGGGAGUGAGUACAGCGGCGAACGGGUGAGUAACACGUGGGCAACCUGCCCUAGGGAGCGGGACAACCCGAGGAAACUCGGGCUAAUACCGCAUGAUUCGCCGGGCCUCAAGGCCUGGCGGGAAAUGGUAGCUUCGGCCUCCGCCCUGGGAUGGGCCCGCGGCGCAUUAGCUUGUUGGUGGGGUAAUGGCUCACCAAGGCGACGAUGCGUAGCUGGUCUGAGAGGACGAUCAGCCACACUGGGACUGAGACACGGCCCAGACUCCUACGGGAGCAGCAGUGGGAAUCUUGCGCAAUGGGCGGAAGCCUGACGCAGCGACGCCGCGUGUGGGAAGACGGCCUUGGGUUCGUAAACCGACUUUCGAAGGGGGACGAAGCCGUUCCGAGGUUAAUAGCCGUACGGGUCGACCGGUACCCCCCAGGAACGAAGCCCCGGAUAACGUACGUGCCAGCCGAGCCGC
RNAcentral lists this ribosomal RNA (515 nucleotides) under uncultured soil bacterium. Its description in RNAcentral is "bacterial SSU rRNA". It matches the Rfam family "Bacterial small subunit ribosomal RNA", at positions 26 to 518 of the family's 1533-position model. The record is from RNAcentral.